RNAcentral lists this ribosomal RNA (253 nucleotides) under uncultured bacterium. RNAcentral describes it as "partial 16S ribosomal RNA". It matches the Rfam family "Bacterial small subunit ribosomal RNA", at positions 524 to 776 of the family's 1533-position model. The record is from RNAcentral.
UACGUAGGGUGCAAGCGUUAAUCGGAAUUACUGGGCGUAAAGCGUGCGCAGGCGGUUUUGUAAGUCUGUCGUGAAAGCCCCGGGCUCAACCUGGGUAUUGCGAUGGAGACUGCAAGGCUUGAAUCUGGCAGAGGGGGGUAGAAUUCCACGUGUAGCAGUGAAAUGCGUAGAGAUGUGGAGGAACACCGAUGGCGAAGGCAGCCCCCUGGGUCAAGAUUGACGCUCAUGCACGAAAGCGUGGGGAGCAAACAGG